RNAcentral lists this long non-coding RNA (421 nucleotides) under Musa acuminata (dwarf banana). Its description in RNAcentral is "long non-coding RNA (MACU_LNC000150)". Lineage: Eukaryota; Viridiplantae; Streptophyta; Magnoliopsida; Zingiberales; Musaceae. The record is from RNAcentral.
GGGGGAAGAAGGCGUAUCCAUGUCACUCGCCGACACGUUUGGAGAAGGUGGGUGGGUGUCUUAAGCGACUCUUCCGAGCCAUUCACGUGUCCGUACCCAAGAAGCAUGGAGUCGACGUCCGACCCAAGGCGGCCCCAUCGCUCGGCUACGCACAGUGGACGUGCGUCACGUUCAACGCCGGAGGUUUCACGAGAUAAGAGAGCGGGAGCGGCGUGGGAAAGACCGCACACCACCUGUUCGUCGAAAUGUAGUAGCACCGAAGGCUUCCGGUCGUGCGCGCGCGCGCAAGAGAGAGAGACACACACACCGAACACCAGCUGUUUGUCGAAAUGUGCGUGUUGUCGUUUGCUGCUAAUUUUCUACCGUCACGACUAGUCGUCGUCGACACGGAUAACCACGUUUGACUUCGACUCUCCUCCUC